GUCCUUUAGAAAAUAAUUUAAGGUCUAACCUGCCCACUGAAUUUUGAAGGGCCGCAGUAUUUUGACUGUGCUAAGGUAGCAUAAUCAUUAGUUUUUUAAUUGAAAGCUGGAAUGAAGGGUUGAAUGAGAAAAUAGCUGUCUCUAUUAAAUUUUUUAGAAUUUUAUUUCUAAGUUAAAAAGCUUAGAUUAUAUUUAAAGACGAGAAGACCCUAUAGAGUUUAAUAAAUCUUGAAUUUUUAAAAUAAUAGGAAUUUUUUAUUUUUAAAUUUAAUAUUUAUUUUGUUGGGGUGAUGGAAAAAUUUAUUUAACUUUUUUUUACUUUUUUCAUUUAUUUAUGUAAGAUUGAUCCUUUUUUUAAGAUUAAAAGAUUAAAUUACCUUAGGGAUAACAGCGUAAUUUUUUUUGAGAGUUCUAAUCGAAAAAAAAGAUUGCGACCUCGAUGUUGGAUUAAAAUUAAAUUUUGGUGUAGAAGCUAAAAAUUUUAGGUCUGUUCGACCUUUAAAAUUUUACAUGAUCUGAGUUUAAACCGGUGUGAGCCAGGUUGGUUUCUAUCUUAAGUAAGUUUUAAUAUUUUAGUACGAAAGGACCAAAUAUUAAAUUUAUAAUUUAUAUUUUUGAAUUAAAUUAUUAUUUUGGCAGAUUAGUGCAAUAGAUUUAGAAUCUUUGAAUGUAAAUUUAUUUACAAAUAAUACUUGUUAUUUAAAGAUUUAUUUUUAACUUUAGUUUCUUGUUUAAUUUUGUUAGUUUGUGUUCUUGUAGGGGUGGCUUUUUUGACUUUACUGGAACGUAAAGUUUU
RNAcentral lists this ribosomal RNA (796 nucleotides) under Glischrochilus hortensis. RNAcentral's name for it is "partial 16S ribosomal RNA". The stretch from base 1 to 579 matches the Rfam family "Bacterial large subunit ribosomal RNA", at positions 1825 to 2925 of the family's 2925-position model. The record is from RNAcentral. Lineage: Eukaryota; Metazoa; Arthropoda; Insecta; Coleoptera; Nitidulidae.